Molecule: ribosomal RNA, 746 nt
Filed under: uncultured bacterium
Lineage: Bacteria
Description: partial 16S ribosomal RNA
Source: RNAcentral
CCCUCAGCGUCAGUACAUACGUAGUAGACUGCCUUCGCAAUCGGUAUUCUGUGUAAUAUCUAUGCAUUUCACCGCUACACUACACAUUCUAUCUACUUCCAUAUGACUCAAGUCAACCAGUAUCAAAGGCAGUUCCAUAGUUGAGCUAUGGGAUUUCACCUCUGACUUAAUCGACCGCCUGCGGACCCUUUAAACCCAAUGAUUCCGGAUAACGCUCGGACCCUCCGUAUUACCGCGGCUGCUGGCACGGAGUUAGCCGGUCCCUAUUCUUACAGUACCGUCAAGCUGGUAUACAUACCAGUGUUUCUUCCUGUAUAAAAGUAGUUUACAACCCAUAGGGCAUUCUUCCUACACGCGGCAUGGCUGGAUCAGAGUCUCCUCCAUUGUCCAAUAUUCCUCACUGCUGCCUCCCGUAGGAGUCUGGUCCGUGUCUCAGUACCAGUGUGGGGGAUCUCCCUCUCAGGACCCCUACCUAUCGCUGUCUUGGUAAGCCGUUACCUUACCAACUAACUAAUAGGACGCAUAGCCAUCUCUUACCGAUAAAUCUUUAAUUAAAACUUGAUGCCAAGUCUCAAUACUAUAAGGUAUUAAUCUUCAUUUCUAAAGGCUAUCCCUCUGUAAAAGGUAGGUUCUAUACGCGUUACGCACCCGUGCGCCGGUCGUCAUCUGUAGCAAGCUACAAUGUUACCCCUCGACUUGCAUGUGUUAAGCCUGCCGCUAGCGUUCAUCCUGAGCCAGGAUCAAAC